CUGAAAGAAUGAAAUAUAGCCAGGUCAGUGUGUUGGCUUCAGAAGCUAUGCAUGCAGCAUGCAAACACCCAGCUUUGUGGGAUCAGUUACAGGAGAGUUUGAAGACCGUGAUAGCUAAGAGCCAUGAGUAUGAUCAGCUAAAGGAUAAUUUAAGUAAGAAAACGGCUGAUCUUAGUACUUGUGCAAUUGAAUAUGUAGACGAUGGUGAAGGCAACAUAGUUGAAGUUCAUGAUCCUAUUAAAGUAUCAACGAAAGGUGCAACUAAAGUAGAUGAGAACCGCCCUAUGUCGAAAAAUGGCAGGCCACUUUCGUACGACGAGAUCAGAAUCAGGUGCGGCGCAUGCAAAUUGCUAGGGCACACUAAACGCAGCAAGAAAUGCAAACUAAAUAAGAAAAGCGUGGUGGGCGAAGAAGAGUAGAACAGUUGCUAAAGUUAUGUUAGGAUGAAUCCAGUGAUCUAAUAGUGAGGUGUUUACAGUGUGUUACUGCAUACAUGAUACAUGAUAUAUACUAUUGCAAGAGGCCAGUACCUUGAGAUAGUGCUUGUAGCAUAUAUGGACUAAACAGGAGGCGGUCACUAGGGACUUUAAUCAUGGAAAAUGGAUAGCAUUUUAGCCAUUGUAAUGAUGGCAUCUUUUGUGUUGUCCACUGUAGUUAUAUUAUAUUAGAAAACCAGACGAUACCUGGCAUGUUGUUGCAGGAAUGUUUUGCAAUAUAUUCAUAGAGAAAUGGUUACGUGUAACAUGUAUAUGUUGUUGCGGGAAUAUUUUGUUUGCAUGUUGUGGUGGACCUUUCUCCAUACAUG
Aegilops tauschii subsp. strangulata is the source of this 805-nucleotide non-coding RNA. NCBI's taxonomy places the organism in Eukaryota, Viridiplantae, Streptophyta, Magnoliopsida, Poales, Poaceae. The record is from RefSeq and is a predicted model, not a curated record.